RNAcentral lists this ribosomal RNA (1033 nucleotides) under uncultured Lacticaseibacillus sp. RNAcentral's name for it is "bacterial SSU rRNA". It matches the Rfam family "Bacterial small subunit ribosomal RNA", at positions 54 to 1050 of the family's 1533-position model. Lineage: Bacteria; Bacillati; Bacillota; Bacilli; Lactobacillales; Lactobacillaceae. The record is from RNAcentral.
AUUGCAAGUCGAACGAGUUCUCGUUGAUGAUCGGUGCUUGCACCGAGAUUCAACAUGGGAACGAGUGGCGGACGGGUGAGUAACACGUGGGUAACCUGCCCUUAAGUGGGGGAUAACAUUUGGAAACAGAUGCUAAUACCGCAUAGAUCCAAGAACCGCAUGGUUCUUGGCUGAAAGAUGGCGUAAGCUAUCGCUUUUGGAUGGACCCGCGGCGUAUUAGCUAGUUGGUGAGGUAAUGGCUCACCAAGGCGAUGAUACGUAGCCGAACUGAGAGGUUGAUCGGCCACAUUGGGACUGAGACACGGCCCAAACUAAUACGGGAGGCAGCAGUAGGGAAUCUUCCACAAUGGACGCAAGUCUGAUGGAGCAACGCCGCGUGAGUGAAGAAGGCUUUCGGGUCGUAAAACUCUGUUGUUGGAGAAGAAUGGUCGGCAGAGUAACUGUUGUCGGCGUGACGGUAUCCAACCAGAAAGCCACGGCUAACUACGUGCCAGCAGCCGCGGUAAUACGUAGGUGGCAAGCGUUAUCCGGAUUUAUUGGGCGUAAAGCGAGCGCAGGCGGUUUUUUAAGUCUGAUGUGAAAGCCCUCGGCUUAACCGAGGAAGCGCAUCGGAAACUGGGAAACUUGAGUGCAGAAGAGGACAGUGGAACUCCAUGUGUAGCGGUGAAAUGCGUAGAUAUAUGGAAGAACACCAGUGGCGAAGGCGGCUGUCUGGUCUGUAACUGACGCUGAGGCUCGAAAGCAUGGGUAGCGAACAGGAUUAGAUACCCUGGUAGUCCAUGCCGUAAACGAUGAAUGCUAGGUGUUGGAAGGUUUCCGCCCUUCAGUGCCGCAGCUAACGCAUUAAGCAUUCCGCCUGGGGAGUACGACCGCCAGGUUGAAACUCCAAGGAAAUAAACGGGGGCCCGCACAAGCGGGGGAGCAUGUGGUUUAAUUCUAAGCACGGCAAAAAACCUUACCAGGUCUGGACUUUUUUUGAUCCCUGUAAGAAUAGGUUUCCCCUUUUGGGGCAAAAGACAAGUGGUGAUUGGGU